UGAUCCUGGCUCAGGAUGAACGCUAGCGGCAGGCUUAACACAUGCAAGUCGAGGGGUAACAUUGUAGCUUGCUACAGAUGACGACCGGCGCACGGGUGCGUAACGCGUAUAGAACUUACCUUUUACAGAGGGAUAGCCUUUAGAAAUGAAGAUUAAUACCUCAUAGUAUUAUUGAUUGGCAUCAAUUAAUAAUUAAAGAUUUAUCGGUAAAAGAUGGCUAUGCGUCCUAUUAGCUAGAUGGUAAGGUAAUGGCUUACCAUGGCUACGAUAGGUAGGGGCCCUGAGAGGGGGAUCCCCCACAUUGGUACUGAGACACGGACCAGACUCCUACGGGAGGCAGCAGUGAGGAAUAUUGGGCAAUGGAGGUAACUCUGACCCAGCCAUGCCGCGUGCAGGAAGACUGCCCUAUGGGUUGUAAACUGCUUUUAUACAGGAAGAAACACUCGUACGUGUACGAGCUUGACGGUACUGUAAGAAUAAGGACCGGCUAACUCCGUGCCAGCAGCCGCGGUAAUACGGAGGGUCCGAGCGUUAUCCGGAAUCAUUGGGUUUAAAGGGUCCGCAGGCGGUCAAUUAAGUCAGAGGUGAAAUCCCAUAGCUUAACUAUGGAACUGCCUUUGAUACUGGUUGACUUGAGUCAUAUGGAAGUAGAUAGAAUGUGUAGUGUAGCGGUGAAAUGCAUAGAUAUUACACAGAAUACCGAUUGCGAAGGCAGUCUACUACGUAUGUACUGACGCUCAUGGACGAAAGCGUGGGGAGCGAACAGGAUUAGAUACCCUGGUAGU
This 785-nucleotide ribosomal RNA is filed under the name uncultured marine bacterium. Its description in RNAcentral is "bacterial SSU rRNA". It matches the Rfam family "Bacterial small subunit ribosomal RNA", at positions 14 to 794 of the family's 1533-position model. The record is from RNAcentral.